RNAcentral lists this long non-coding RNA (202 nucleotides) under Sus scrofa (pig). RNAcentral describes it as "lncRNA (ENSSSCG00070002621.1)". The record is from RNAcentral. Lineage: Eukaryota; Metazoa; Chordata; Mammalia; Artiodactyla; Suidae.
CCUUUGUCUGGUGAGAUGAAGUUAGGCUGUGUCAGAUGGGAGCUUGUCCGUGUGUGUGUAUGGGGCGUGUGUGUGUGUGUGGGUGGGUGGGUGGGUGGGUGUGUUUGUAUGAGUGUGUGUGUGAGUGUGUGUGUGGAUAGAUGUAUUACAUCACGGAGGUGUAUGGAUACACGUAUGCCUGUACCUACACUGAAAAGGCAAU